Cyprinodon tularosa is the source of this 1915-nucleotide long non-coding RNA. RefSeq lists it as uncharacterized. The record is from RefSeq and is a predicted model, not a curated record. NCBI's taxonomy places the organism in Eukaryota, Metazoa, Chordata, Actinopteri, Cyprinodontiformes, Cyprinodontidae. The transcript has 2 exons.
AUUUCUAUUAUUUAAUGUUUUUAUGUGUCUGUCUUGUUGGUAUACCCUGUUUUGAAACUUUUCAGCAUUUAAACUGCAACCAGUGUUAGUUUUUUUUUUUAGAAUGUUAAACUAUAUAUGUUGAAUUGUUGGAAUUAACCAGUUUUUUUUUUUUCAUAGUCUUAGUUUUCUAUGUGAUGCCUUGAUAUUUCGAGGGUAAGUCUGGAAUUCCGCUAGUUCUGAACUAUUCACGUUUGGCAAAAGUUCACUACUAGCAGAACUCAGAUUUGCUCCCGAUAAACGACGGGAAUGACCAGUGGGGAUGGUCUUAUUCAGGCAACAGAUGGUAUACAUGUGCGAUGCCUCUUGGAGAGUGCUGUAAAUUACUCUGGUGUCAAGUGAGCCAAAUCUACUUUUGCCGCUCUCAUGGUUUUGUGUUCACUUAACAUCAGGCUUGGCGUAGAGUCCAUCAGGGGAAUUUCCAAUGUUUGGUCUGACUGAACUUUCAUUUCUUCAGAGAAUCAGAAUGUAUUUUAAUAUUUUGUAUUUGCAAUGCUUCUUUAUCCAAUUUAUAUUUUGCAUCAUAUGUUCUAUUUAGUUUUCUGAAAUAUUAAUAUCAUUAGAGCAAAAAUGAUAGGUAGAUAUAAUGAGUAGAAGCAAAAAUCUUCUAACAUGCUUCUUUUUUCUUUUUCCUAUAGGUAACCUCUGCCUAUACUUAUCCUUAAAGUUAAUCCUAUUCAGCUAACUGCUUUAACUUUAUUGUAUUAAAGUGUUAGAAAAGCUUAUGAGUGGAAACACCAACUAACCAUAACAUUAAGACCACUGAUAACUAAAGUGUGUGAAGCCUGUAAUCUUGUUCCAACACAGCAAUCUCCGGGGAAUACGUGCAUGCUGGCAUGAAAGAGACUUUAUUUUGAUCUCUCUCUGACGCAGCAGGAACAGCUUGGGAAACCUCAACACUUGUUUAUAGAUCAGAGUCUGCAGUGAAAGCUGUUAUCUGUUCAUCCAGAAUUCAGGCGUUUAAGAUCGCCAGAAGCAUUUAAGCAUUAUUUUAAUGAAAAAAAUUAAAUCAAAUCAAAGGGAACUUACCUUAAAGCAAGGCUCUAGAGUUGAUAUCCUAACACCAGAAACACCCACAGAUGUUUUAAUGUCAGUUACUGAGCUUUCAAAUAUUUUGAUGGCCAAAAGAUAUUGAUUCUGAGCAGCUGGUCUUUAUGUUAUCAUAACAUGUUUGGUUUACUUUUUCUCUAAAUGUGUAUUUUAAUUUGUUAUUUUAUUGUAACUUUUACACUUUUCAUAUCAACACCAUUUUUAAAGUCAAUGAAUUAAAAACCUAGAGAGGAGACCAACUUCAGCUUCAGCCAAUCAACGUCGUGAUUGCACCAAUCAUCUUUCAAGAUCCCCUUCAUUUAGCUCCUAAGUUAGCCUCCCUCCAGCUCACCAGCGAACUUUCACCCACCUCCAACCCAUCCCCUCCCUCACUCUCUGACUAUUCAGUCCCACUCACCCUCUGACUAGUAAUGUCGAUUCACAGCAUCAGAAUAUUCUACCAGGGCCCGAGCAUCAAAUAAGUUAUUUCAUUCCUUGCAAUAAAACUUUUCUAAUCGCAGUUUUUCUCUGUGUGAGUCUGUCCAGGAUGAAAUGGUUCACUCUGAGCUCAAGUGACAGACACGAACAGGCCUGAAGAAGAUGUGGAGACCAUUAUGCUGCCUGUGACAUUGUUCAGCAUGAUUUGUUUUAGUGUGUGUGCACACGACAUGUUGGAAACCGUAAACCAUAUACCAGUCUUAUCUUUAUAUUUGAUGAACAUGUUUACAUUUUUCCACUGCUGCACUUUAGAAAUGGAAAUGUCUUGAGAGCUGUACUGAACGAAAUUUUGUUCUGUAUACAUUCUGUGUGCACAAAAUGACAAUAAAGUCUGUAAGUCUCAGUUUAA